GAGUUUGAUCUUGACUCAGAUUGAACGCUGGCGGCAUGCCUUACACAUGCAAGUCGAACGGCAGCACGGGAGCUUGCUCCUGGUGGCGAGUGGCGAACGGGUGAGUAAUGCAUCGGAACGUAUCCUGGAGUGGGGGAUAACGUAGCGAAAGUUACGCUAAUACCGCAUAUUCUGUGAGCAGGAAAGCGGGGGACCUUCGGGCCUCGCGCUCUUGGAGCGGCCGAUGUCGGAUUAGCUAGUUGGUGAGGUAAAGGCUCACCAAGGCGACGAUCCGUAGCAGGUCUGAGAGGAUGAUCUGCCACACUGGAACUGAGACACGGUCCAGACUCCUACGGGAGGCAGCAGUGGGGAAUUUUGGACAAUGGGGGCAACCCUGAUCCAGCCAUGCCGCGUGAGUGAAGAAGGCCU
RNAcentral lists this ribosomal RNA (408 nucleotides) under bacterium enrichment culture clone ALO1_GLFRUDD03FV8KY. Its description in RNAcentral is "bacterial SSU rRNA". It matches the Rfam family "Bacterial small subunit ribosomal RNA", at positions 9 to 417 of the family's 1533-position model. The record is from RNAcentral.